RNAcentral lists this ribosomal RNA (254 nucleotides) under uncultured bacterium. Its description in RNAcentral is "partial 16S ribosomal RNA". It matches the Rfam family "Bacterial small subunit ribosomal RNA", at positions 524 to 776 of the family's 1533-position model. The record is from RNAcentral.
UACGUAGGGCGCGAGCGUUGUCCGGAUUUAUUGGGCGUAAAGAGCUCGUAGGCGGCUUGUCGCGUCGUUCGUGAAAACCUGCAGCUCAACUGCAGGCUUGCGGUCGAUACGGGCAGGCUAGAGUUCGGUAGGGGAGACUGGAAUUCCUGGUGUGAGCGGUGAAAUGCGCAGAUAUCAGGAGGAACACCAACGGCGAAGGCAGCUCGCUAGGACGGUACUGACGCUGAGACGCGAAAGCGUGGGGAGCGAACAGG